CCUACGGGAGGCAGCAGUGAGGAAUAUUGGUCAAUGGACGAGAGUCUGAACCAGCCAAGUAGCGUGAAGGAUGACUGCCCUAUGGGUUGUAAACUUCUUUUAUAUGGGAAUAAAACGUUCCACGUGUGGGAUUUUGUAUGUACCAUAUGAAUAAGGAUCGGCUAACUCCGUGCCAGCAGCCGCGGUAAUACGGAGGAUCCGAGCGUUAUCCGGAUUUAUUGGGUUUAAAGGGAGCGUAGGUGGAUUGUUAAGUCAGUUGUGAAAGUUUGCGGCUCAACCGUAAAAUUGCAGUUGAGACUGGCAGUCUUGAGUACAGUAGAGGUGGGCGGAAUUCGUGGUGUAGCGGUGAAAUGCUUAGAUAUCACGAAGAACUCCGAUUGCGAAGGCAGUUCACUGGACUGCAACUGACACUGAGGCUCGAAAGUGUGGGUAUCAAACAGGAUUAGAUACCCUAGUAGUC
RNAcentral lists this ribosomal RNA (460 nucleotides) under uncultured bacterium. RNAcentral's name for it is "partial 16S ribosomal RNA". It matches the Rfam family "Bacterial small subunit ribosomal RNA", at positions 338 to 795 of the family's 1533-position model. The record is from RNAcentral.